RNAcentral lists this transfer RNA (76 nucleotides) under Staphylococcus condimenti. RNAcentral describes it as "tRNA-Ala". It matches the Rfam family "tRNA". Rfam says of the family: Transfer RNA (tRNA) molecules are approximately 80 nucleotides in length. Their secondary structure includes four short double-helical elements and three loops (D, anti-codon, and T loops). Further hydrogen bonds mediate the characteristic L-shaped molecular structure. tRNAs have two regions of fundamental functional importance: the anti-codon, which is responsible for specific mRNA codon recognition, and the 3' end, to which the tRNAs corresponding amino acid is attached (by aminoacyl-tRNA synthetases). tRNAs cope with the degeneracy of the genetic code in two manners: having more than one tRNA (with a specific anti-codon) for a particular amino acid; and 'wobble' base-pairing, i.e. permitting non-standard base-pairing at the 3rd anti-codon position. The record is from RNAcentral. Lineage: Bacteria; Bacillati; Bacillota; Bacilli; Caryophanales; Staphylococcaceae.
GGGGGCUUAGCUCAGAUGGGAGAGCGCCUGCUUUGCACGCAGGAGGUCAGCGGUUCGAUCCCGCUAGUCUCCACAA